UGUUUAUGUGUAGGGGCUUUCCCUUUAAGAGGUGCAGCCCAGCUGCAUGUCAUGUGACUUCGGCCAGGAAGCCAAGCUGAGUUAGAUUUCAUGUCACCCAUGUGUUUAGUCAAUCCAGUUCAAUCUGUAUUCAUCUUUGCCCAGACUAAGCAUUGUGGUUUCACACUUCCUUGAAAUCAAUAAACCUGUGGACAAAAGGUCAACUUUCCUCAGAGUCUUUGUGUCAGGGAAGAGUUUAGCUGUACUGUCUAGUUGCAUUUCAUAUGGCGAAGGCAGUAUUGUGAAACCACAACUUCUCAGCAGGUUAGACAUCGCAGUUUAAGCUGGAAGACUCGGAAUACGCAUAGACAUACCCAGCCAGUGACUUAUUACAACAUUCACCUCUCUAAAUCAUAACAAGAAAACAAGUAAUUAUGACAGAGGAGGCUGCAACGUGGGAGACACGAUCUCAAGCUUCAUGUUCUUCUGUACAGUCAAGAGCAUCUACUACAGAGUCUGCUGCUGCUAAAGCAAGAGCAAAAGCGGAAGCAGCAAAAGCACGCCUUGUCUUUGCUGAAGAGGAGGCUAACUUAAAACUGCAAAAGGCUAAAUUGGAAGUAUCAAUGGACAUUCUGAGCAUAAAAAAGGAAACGGCUGUCGCUGAAGCACUUGAAGCAGCUGCCGAUUUGAAAGAAAAUCCAUCCAGUAAUCAGCUUAACUGGGAAAUACCUUCCUUAGAAGCCACCAAACGAACGAAAGAGUACGUUGUCAACCACGGUCAACAGUUGGAUGUGGAUAAACAACUCACUCUUCCUUCAAAGCCACAGCCAGAUGCUGAUGUUUUACCUAUGCAUCUUAUGCCAGACGUUAAUCCCUUCAUUCCAAAGAAAGAUGAUUCUGGAACCCAGUUAUUUUGCCAGACUCCCCAGCAGCAGCUCACUCAUGAGAAAAGCACAGUUCGACUCGAACACGAUCACUUUACUCCAAUACGACCCUCCACGCCACAAGUGAACGUCAGUGAUCGUCCCCCACAUUCAUCAUUUUUAAAUCCUAAAUUCGACGAUUUGAACGUGAAUGACUUCGUUCGCUAUCUGGCUCGACGGGAACUGGUGUCUACGGGUUUACUCAAGUUUAAUGAUAAACCUCAGAACUACAGGGCUUGGAAACGAUCAUUUCAGUCUGCCAUCCAUGGUUUACAUUUGACAUUCAGUGAGGAGAUGGAUCUUCUGCUUUAGUGGCUAGGCAAAGAUUCAGCCUUACAUGUGGAGCGAAUUAGAGCGACCCACAUAAACCACCCAAAUGCAGGACUGACUAUGAUUUGGAACCGGCUUGACCAAACAUAUGGUUCUACAGAAAUUAUAGAAGACGCCCUCUUCAAACGAAUUGAAACGUUUCCCAAAAUAACGAACCAAGAUUUUUCCAAGUUAAUCAAGUUGAGUGAUUUAUUAAGCGAACUCUUGGCAGCUAAGGACGAAGGAGACUAACCUGGACUUAACUUCCUUGACACGGCAAGAGGCAUCAAUCCCAUCCUGCGAAAGCUACCCUUUAACCUACAGGAAAAAUGGGCAUCAGUAGGUUCAUUAUACAAGCAAAGAUAUCAGGUCUCAUAUCCACCAUUUGGUUACUUCGUGGAUUUCAUCAGUCAAGAAGCAAGCGUUGGGAACGACCCAAGUUUCAAUCUCAACACUCAAGAGGAGAUUGCUCCAAAGGCUGAGCGGACAACUUGGAAGUCGAACAGACACAUAGAGGUUUCUACGCACAAAACUGAAGUUACCUCAAACACAAACGAGCUCUUCUCAAAACCAGACGAUUGUAACAAAAUGUGUCCUCUGCAUAAAAAGCCACAUCCUCUGCGUAAAUGUCGAGCAUUUAGGGAGAAGUCCAUUGAAGAUCGUAAGAACUUCUUGAAGGAGAAUCAUAUUUGCUUUAAAUGUUGCUCCUCCACACUGCAUGUUGCAAAAAAACUGCACAGCUAAAAUCCUGUGCGCAGAAUGCAACAGCGAAAGGCAUCCCACAGUACUUCACCCUGGGCCAGCACCUUGGGCAGCAGAAGUAGAUCCUGCAUCAAGGCACGACAGGGAGCUUCAAAUCCCUGUUCAAUCACAGGUCAAUGCCCAGUGCACUCAAGUUUGUGGUGGAGAUCUCGCCGAGAAAUCAUGUUCUAAAAUAAGCCUCGUAAAGGUUUAUCCAUCUGGGUCUAGGGACAAGGCUAGGAGAGUCUACGCCAUCUUAGACGAACAAAGCAACCGUUCAUUAGUUACGUCACAGUUCUUUGAGGUUUUCAGUGACACAAGUUCAAGUUCUCCUUACACCUUUAGAACAUGCGCUGGAGUGAAGCAAGUAUCAGGAAGAAGAGCUACCGGCUACUAAGUGGAAUCUCUUGAUGGAACUGUCCACCUCCCACUACCAAGUCUUAUAGAGUGUAAUGACAUCCCAAACAACAGAGAUGAGAUUCCAACUCCCGAUGUAGCACUCCACCAUCCUCAUCUGAAGUCACUGGCGCACCUGAUCCCAGAGGUCGAUCCAAAAGCGCCAAUCAUGCUUCUUCUGGGCCGUGAUAUUCUCCAUGUUCACAAAGUCCGCAAACAGGUGAACGGCACACACAACCUGCCCUAUGCACAGAAGUUGGAUUUGGGGUGGUGAUAGUAGGCAACGUAUGCCUGGGCAACGUGCUGUUGUGAUUUAAACUCGACGGACCAAAAGCGUGUGAGCACACGAACAGGAAACCAGCCACACAGAAUAAUCAGAGUUUACUUUUUUUAUUCUUUUUUAGCGCUAGAAAAGAGAGACGCUUACCCUCACAGGCUAAUUUGUUGUGGAGUGAAUGUAACCGAAAUUAUACAGCAUCUGAACAAAAACGGAAGAAUCACUGCUUAUAUCUAAAAACACGCCCAGUGGUUGCCUGAUGUCAGCCAAGUCAUGCCCAGUGAUCACCCGAUGUGUUACGUCAGCUAAAGUUUCUAUUUCUACAAAGGCCUUUGUGUGAAAGUGAAACAUGCCAGGUGUGUAAAAGCGAGUUAGAUUUCAUGUCACCCAUGUGUUUAGUCAAUCCAGUUCAAUCUGUAUUCAUCUUUGCCCGGACGAAGCAUUGUGGUUUCACACUUCCUUGAAAUCAAUAAACCUGUGGACAAAAGGUCAA
Molecule: long non-coding RNA, 3118 nt
Organism: Xiphophorus hellerii (green swordtail)
Lineage: Eukaryota; Metazoa; Chordata; Actinopteri; Cyprinodontiformes; Poeciliidae
Exons: 3
Source: RefSeq, a predicted model, not a curated record